Molecule: long non-coding RNA, 2535 nt
Organism: Triticum aestivum (bread wheat)
Lineage: Eukaryota; Viridiplantae; Streptophyta; Magnoliopsida; Poales; Poaceae
Exons: 3
Source: RefSeq, a predicted model, not a curated record
AUGUAUAGAUAUAGAUAUAGAUAUAGAUAUAUAGAGAGAGUAGCACUAUUCUGAUUCUGGGAUCAGAAUAGUUAUUCUGAUCACGGUCGGCGCUAUUAGAACGCGACACAUAUAGUUACACGAUUCGCAAAAAACUGAAAAAAGCCCACGAACAGAGCCCCCAGUCAACCUUAUCCCGCACCACCAUCACUCGAUUCGCCUCCCAGCCGGCUCCACCAACCCCCGACUCGCCGUCGCCCCCGACCGGCGCCGCCACCCCCGACCGGCGCCUCCACCGUCCGUCGCCGCGGAUCGCACCGUCGCCACCAUCUCUCGCUGUGGAUCACGCCUCCGCCGCCAUCCUUCGCCUGAAUCGCGCCGCCGCCACCAUCCCUCGAUGGAGAGCUCCCCCGCCCGACUGCCCCCGCCCAUGGGUCCCGCCGCCGGUCUCCUCCUACAACCCUGCCGCCACCGUCCCCUGGACCCGGCAGCCGCUCCGCCACCUGCCUCAAAUCCGGCCAUGGUGCUGCCCCCACUGCUGGAUCCGGCCACCGCAACGUCACAGUGCAUCGCCCAGUGGUGCAGCACCCAACUCACGGAGAUCCCCAUCGCCGCCGACACUCCGGCGAACUUCCUUGCCACCUCGCGGUGGACCUCUCCCCGCUGCUCCGGUGACCUUCGCCAGCGUACUUCAACCCCGCGGGCAGAGUCCCCACUCCUCCCACACCGCAAUAGAGCAUGGCUUGACCCACGAUCCGUUCGUCCUUGGCGUCCCGCCAUGUUCGCUGCCGAGAUGCCAUCUCCCUGUCCACAUCUGAGGAUCCUUAAUUUGUCCUGGGGUAGUUCCCCACGGUCCGUUCGUCCUUGGCGUCCCGCCAUGUUCGCUGCCGAGAUGCCAUCUCCCUGUCCACAUCGAGAAAAUCGGCUAUUUGCCACUUUCAAUAUUGGGCUUCGCAAAACUGCCACUCUCAACAUUGGCUUCGCAAAAAUGCCAUCCAGCCCGUGUGCAUUUUGAUUAUCAUGCCAUUUCCUCUUUUCCAUUGCUUUUUUUUUCUUUUCCCAUUUUCUGGCACCUAAAAGGACCAAAAUACCCCUAGGCUGUUUCAACCUUAUCUGAUGCGUGUGUGGUUGGGUCGGAUUGCUCUGACCUCUGAGGUGCUCGUCCUUGUCUCCGCCAUAGCCCGCCGCCGUAGCUUACUUAUGCCAGUGCGAGCCACAGCAGCUCACCGCCCUGGCUCCCCCACGCCUGCGCCAACAACCGCAGCUCGCCGCAGCCCGCCGUUGGUACCCCAAGCCUGCGCGCGCCGGCGGAGCUCGCCAUCGCCUCGCUUAUGCCUGCUCGAGCUCUCGUAGCUCGUCGACGGUGCUCGUCCAAGUCUGCACGAGCGGGCAUAGCUCGUCCUCGCCUCUCUGAUGCCUGCGCGAGCCGCCGCAGCUCGCCGCCCAGGCCCUGCGCGAGCAACCGUAGCUCGCCCUCGCCUGCGUGCUGGCGGAGCUCGCCGCACGGCAUGCUAGAGAGGUGCGCCAGCGACUUCGUGUCCCUGAACACCAGCACCAUGGCAACAUCAACUGGAGGCCCUUUUGAUGGUCCGUGAGGAGGAGACGAACGCGUGUGCAAGUGCUGAAAAUGUAGAAUGCAAGCAACCUGGAGUAGAUCAGGGAUGAUGAAUGUGCUUCCCACAGAUUCCAUACGUCACAUGAGGAGCUUUGUUGAACUGGAGUCAAACGAACAAACCAAGGGAAAGGUAAAACGUAAUACCGUCCAGAAAGAUUGGGUUCCAUGUCGCCACUGCGGUACUGGGUGAUGGGCAGCACACGAAGCCGAGGAGAUCGGCGGCGCGCGACGCCAAGGAGAUUGGCGGCACGCGGCGUUGAGGCAAUCAGCGGCGUCGCGACCCAGGAGAUGGGGGCAGCGUCCAGCGAUUGACCCAAGAAGUCCUGGCGACCAGGGAUGCGGCAAGCACGGUAUUCACGGCGGGCAGCACGCACUCGUCCGCUUCAAGUGCUGAUCUGAUGCCAAAGUACGUGAAGAUAGCUACAGGGGUACUUCGGUCCUUUCAGGUGCCAGAAAAUAGAAAAUAAAAAUAAAAGCAAUGAAAAAAGAAAAAAUGGCAUGGUAAUCAAAGUGCAUACGAACUGGGUGGCAUUUUUGCGAAGCCAAUGUUGAGAGUGACAGUUUUGCGAAGCCCGAUAUUGAAAGUGGCAAAUAGCCGAUUUUCUCGUCCACAUCUGAGGAUCCUUCAUUUGUCCUGGGGUAGUUCCUGACCGUCCGUUGUGGGCGACUGCGGCUACGUCCUCCGUUGAUGAGUCGCAUUGCCGUACUUCCUCAAGAUCCAUGUCGUCUUAGCCUAUAGGGAAGCGGCAGGAAUUCACUACUACUUUUACAUUUAAGAAUUCAAUCCGUGAUUGGCAUCCACACAGUGUGCCUCUUGUUCCCUGGAGGAUCCAACGGCAGUCAGAUUUGCUUCGUAAAAAAUUGCAUUUGGAUGUAAUUGCAUUUGGAUGAAUUCCUACAAAAGAAUGUUUUGCAGGUCAGAUACAAAAUAAAUUGAAGUU